CCAAUAGCGUAUAUUAAAGUUGUUGUGGUUAAAAAGCUCGUAGUUGAACCUUGGGCCUGGCUGGCCGGUCCGCCUCACCGCGUGUACUGGUCCGGCCGGGCCUUUCCCUCUGUGGAACCUCAUGCCCUUCACUGGGCGUGACGGGGAAACAGGACUUUUACUGUGAAAAAAUUAGAGUGCUCCAGGCAGGCCUAUGCUCGAAUACAUUAGCAUGGAAUAAUGAAAUAGGACGUGCGGUUCUAUUUUGUUGGUUUCUAGGACCGCCGUAAUGAUUAAUAGGGACAGUCGGGGGCAUCAGUAUUCAAUUGUCAGAGGUGAAAUUCUUGGAUUUAUUGAAGACUAACUACUGCGAAAGCAUUUGCCAAGGAUGUUUUCAUUAAUCAGGAACGAAAGUUAGGGGAUCGAAGACGAUCAGAUACCGUCGUAGUCUUAACCAUAAACUAUGCCGACUAGGGAUCGGACGAUGUAAAUAAUUGACUCGUUCGGCACCUUACG
Molecule: ribosomal RNA, 495 nt
Filed under: uncultured Glomeromycotina
Lineage: Eukaryota; Fungi; Glomeromycota
Description: partial small subunit ribosomal RNA
Rfam family: Eukaryotic small subunit ribosomal RNA
Source: RNAcentral